Molecule: ribosomal RNA, 221 nt
Filed under: Staphylococcus haemolyticus
Lineage: Bacteria; Bacillati; Bacillota; Bacilli; Caryophanales; Staphylococcaceae
Description: partial 23S ribosomal RNA
Rfam family: Bacterial large subunit ribosomal RNA
Source: RNAcentral
GAUUAAGUUAUUAAGGGCGCACGGUGGAUGCCUUGGCACUAGAAGCCGACGAAGGACGUUACUAACGACGAUAUGCUUUGGGUAGCUGUAAGUAAGCGUUGAUCCAGAGAUUUCCGAAUGGGGGAACCCAGCACGAGUUAUGUCGUGUUAUCGACAAGUGAAUUCAUAGCUUGUCAGAAGGCAGACCCGGAGAACUGAAACAUCUUAGUACCCGGAGGAAG